Molecule: transfer RNA, 77 nt
Filed under: Caudoviricetes sp.
Lineage: Duplodnaviria; Heunggongvirae; Uroviricota; Caudoviricetes
Description: tRNA-Trp
Rfam family: tRNA
About the family: Transfer RNA (tRNA) molecules are approximately 80 nucleotides in length. Their secondary structure includes four short double-helical elements and three loops (D, anti-codon, and T loops).
Source: RNAcentral
GCGCCUAUAGCUCAAUUAGGUAGAGCGGCGGUCUCCAAAACCGUAUGUUUCCUGUUCAAUUCAGGAUGGACGUGCUA